This 1290-nucleotide long non-coding RNA is filed under the name Equus caballus (horse). RNAcentral describes it as "lncRNA (ENSECAG00000029750.2)". Lineage: Eukaryota; Metazoa; Chordata; Mammalia; Perissodactyla; Equidae. The record is from RNAcentral.
GGAGUCUAGUUUCACCCUGGCUGUCCUACUCUACUCACGUGCAUCAGCUUCCAGACCCAUCCGGCUGUUACUCAACGACGGGCAAGGUCUUGCCUUUCCCAUUGGAGUCGGUUCCAGCCUUGCCUCCAUCCCCACAAGGCUUGUGUGAGAAGGUGCCCCUCCUAGCCAGCCCCCUCCUGCCUCUGUUCCAGUUCCAACCAUGCGCAGUUGGCCCCCCAGUACCUAGUUGUACAUUCUAGUUCUGGGUCCUUCCAGUUGAGGCAUGUGGAAUGCCACCUCAGCAUGACCUGAUGAGCAGUAGUACCAUGUCCACACCCAGGAAUCGAACCAGCGAAACUCGAAGCUGCCGAAGCGGAGUGUGCGAACUUAACCACUCGGCCACGGGGCCUGCCCCCAUCACCUUUCUUGAUCCCUUUCCUGUAAGCUGAGGAGAAAUCUUAAGCAACCAGGCAUAGACUUCUCAGCAUCUAGAACGGCGAGAAUGAAUGCUGUUUAAGCCACCCAGUCUAUGGCAUUCUGGUAUGGCAGCUGGAACUGACUCAGACAGGGGCCAAUUGAACAAAAGAGCCUGGAGUGUGAAAGAUUCUGAGGCUGAAGACCAAGCAGGGAGCCUGUGAAGGGGCUGAGGACACCCAGAGAAGGGGCCCACCGAGGAAGGCAGAGCUAGAGAGGGCCCCGCUGCUGAGCAAAUGAGGCGGCCGAGGACCUUCAGAGGAGCCACGCAGAAUCAGAACAGGGGUUUGGUUUUUCUACAACGUUGUCUCAGUUGGACCUAAAACAAAAAUAUUAACAUAAGCUCAGCUUCCAAAAUCACCAUGUUCCUCUGGUGAAAACUUGGAAAAGAGGUGGAAAAAUUACUUAGGGGACGCUGUAGAAAGAUCCUUCCUCUAACUCAGAGUCUAAGAAGGGGUUCAUCCUUUCGAAGACCUUGAAAACCAUCAGCUCAUUGAUAGGCACCUUUUGCAGCUCCUGGAAUAGAGGUUGCAUACGAGGCCCUUUCACACGAUGCCUGAACUACGGGGACAUCUUCCACGUACCGUCUUGUCCCUCUGAUCUGCAUCUCAAUCCUAUGGUCUUUCCAGGAAAUCCCUCCCUGAGCUGGGAGUGCAGUGAUAAAUAAAACAAUGUCUGAGACUGGACCUCGCUAGACAACCCAGAAUGUAUUGUCACCAUGCCAUGGGUGAACACAGAUGUUGACCUCCACACACACACAGAAGAAAGUGAUUGAUGUAAAAGCAAUGAUGGCAGUCUUAGGAAUUUUCUCCUGCUGCUGAGUGGCACCAGAGAAGG